This 497-nucleotide ribosomal RNA is filed under the name uncultured bacterium. RNAcentral's name for it is "partial 16S ribosomal RNA". It matches the Rfam family "Bacterial small subunit ribosomal RNA", at positions 28 to 507 of the family's 1533-position model. The record is from RNAcentral.
GAUGAACGCUGGCGGCGUGCCUAAUACAUGCAAGUCGAGCGAACAGACUAUGAGCUUGCUCCUCUGACGUUAGCGGCUGACGUGUGAGUAACACGUUAAUAAGCUACCUAUAAGACUGGGAUAACGUGGUGAAACCGGAGCUAAUACCGUAUAAUAGAUUAAACCGCAUUGUUCAAUAGUAAUAGACGGUUUUGCUGACUCGUAUAGAUACAUCCGAGCCCAAUUAGCUAGUUGGUAAGGUAACGGCUUACCAAGGCAACGAUGCGUAGCCGACCUGAGAGGGUGAUCGGCCACCCUGGAACGGAGCCACGGUCCAGACUCCUACGGGAGGCAGCAGUAGGGAAUCUUCGGCAAUGGGCGAAAGCCUGACGGAGAAACGCCGCGUGAGUGAUGAAGGUCUUCGGAUCGUAAGCCUCUGUUAUUAGGGAAGAACAAAUGUGUAAGUAAAUAUGCACGUCUUGACGGUACCUAAUCAGAAAGCCACGGCUAACUACGUG